This 492-nucleotide ribosomal RNA is filed under the name uncultured bacterium. Its description in RNAcentral is "partial 16S ribosomal RNA". It matches the Rfam family "Bacterial small subunit ribosomal RNA", at positions 29 to 507 of the family's 1533-position model. The record is from RNAcentral.
AGUGAACGCUGGCGGUAGGCCUAACACAUGCAAGUCGAACGGCAGCACAGUAAGAGCUUGCUCUUACGGGUGGCGAGUGGCGGACGGGUGAGGAAUACAUCGGAAUCUACUUUUUCGUGGGGGAUAACGUAGGGAAACUUACGCUAAUACCGCAUACGACCUACGGGUGAAAGCAGGGGAUCUUCGGACCUUGCGCGAUUGAAUGAGCCGAUGUCGGAUUAGCUAGUUGGCGGGGUAAGGGCCCACCAAGGCGACGAUCCUUAGCUGGUCUGAGAGGAUGAUCAGCCCCACUGGAACUGGGACACGCUCCAGCCUCCUACGGGAGGCAGCAGUGGGGAAUAUUGGACAAUGGGCGCAAUCCUGAUCCAGCCAUACCGCGUGGGUGAAGAAGGCCUUCGGGUUGUAAAGCCCUUUUGUUGGGAAAGAAAAGCAGCAGGGUAAUACCCCGCUGUUCUGACGGUACCCAAAGAAUAAGCACCGGCUAACUUCGUG